This 252-nucleotide ribosomal RNA is filed under the name uncultured bacterium. RNAcentral's name for it is "partial 16S ribosomal RNA". It matches the Rfam family "Bacterial small subunit ribosomal RNA", at positions 525 to 776 of the family's 1533-position model. The record is from RNAcentral.
ACGGAGGGUGCAAGCGUUAAUCGGAUUUACUGGGCGUAAAGCGUGCGUAGGCGGCUACGUAAGUCAGUUGUGAAAGCCCCGGGCUUAACCUGGGAACUGCAAUUGAUACUGCGUGGCUAGAAUUCGGUAGAGGAAGGUGGAACUCCAGGUGUAGCGGUGAAAUGCGUAGAUAUCUGGAAGAACAUCAAUGGCGAAGGCAACCUUCUGGGCCUGAAUUGACGCUGAGGUACGAAAGCGUGGGGAGCAAACAGG